Molecule: non-coding RNA, 45 nt
Filed under: Schistosoma margrebowiei
Lineage: Eukaryota; Metazoa; Platyhelminthes; Trematoda; Strigeidida; Schistosomatidae
Source: RNAcentral
AUCCAACUAAUGAGACCCAAACAGAACGAAACGCGCGUCCUGGAU